RNAcentral lists this ribosomal RNA (458 nucleotides) under uncultured bacterium. RNAcentral describes it as "partial 16S ribosomal RNA". It matches the Rfam family "Bacterial small subunit ribosomal RNA", at positions 28 to 506 of the family's 1533-position model. The record is from RNAcentral.
GACGAACGCUGGCGGCGUGCUUAACACAUGCAAGUCGAACGGAAAGGCCCAGCUUGCUGGGUGCGCGAGUGGCGAACGGGUGAGUAACACGUGGGUGAGCUGCCCCUAACUUCGGGAUAAGCUUGGUAAACUGGGUCUAAUACCGGAGAGGACAAUCGUUUAGUGGCGGUUGUGGAAAGUGUUUCCGGUUAGGGAUGAGCCCGCGGCGGAUCAGCGAGUUGGUGGGGUAACGGCCCACCAAGGCGACGACGGGUAGCUGGUCUGAGAGGGUGGUCAGCCACACUGGGACUGAGACACGGCCCAGGCUCCUACGGGCGGCAGCAGUGGGGAAUAUUGGACAUUGGGCGCAAGCCUGAUCCAGCCAUGCCGCGUGAGUGAUGAAGGCCUUAGGGUUGUAAAGCUCUUUUAUCCGGGACUAUAAUGACGGUACCGGAGGAAUGAGCCCCGGCGAACUUCGU